RNAcentral lists this ribosomal RNA (1028 nucleotides) under Bacillus siamensis. RNAcentral's name for it is "bacterial SSU rRNA". It matches the Rfam family "Bacterial small subunit ribosomal RNA", at positions 15 to 1034 of the family's 1533-position model. The record is from RNAcentral. Lineage: Bacteria; Bacillati; Bacillota; Bacilli; Caryophanales; Bacillaceae.
AAUCCUGGCUCAGGACGAACGCUGGCGGCGUGCCUAAUACAUGCAAGUCGAGCGGACAGAUGGGAGCUUGCUCCCUGAUGUUAGCGGCGGACGGGUGAGUAACACGUGGGUAACCUGCCUGUAAGACGGGAUAACUCCGGGAAACCGGGGCUAAUACCGGAUGGUUGUUUGAACCGCAUGGUUCAGACAUAAAAGGUGGCUUCGGCUACCACUUACAGAUGGACCCGCGGCGCAUUAGCUAGUUGGUGAGGUAAGGCUCACCAAGGCGACGAUGCGUAGCCGACCUGAGAGGGUGAUCGGCCACACUGGGACUGAGACACGGCCCAGACUCCUACGGGAGGCAGCAGUAGGGAAUCUUCCGCAAUGGACGAAAGUCUGACGAGCAACGCCGCGUGAGUGAUGAAGGUUUUCGGAUCGUAAAGCUCUGUUGUUAGGGAAGAACAAGUGCCGUUCAAAUAGGGCGGCACCUUGACGGUACCUAACCAGAAAGCCACGGCUAACUACGUGCAGCAGCCGCGGUAAUACGUAGGUGGCAAGCGUUGUCCGGAAUUAUUGGGCGUAAAGGGCUCGCAGGCGGUUUCUUAAGUCUGAUGUGAAAGCCCCCGGCUCAACCGGGGAGGGUCAUUGGAAACUGGGAACUUGAGUGCAGAAGAGGAGAGUGGAAUUCCACGUGUAGCGGUGAAAUGCGUAGAGAUGUGGAGGAACACCAGUGGCGAAGGCGACUCUCUGGUCUGUAACUGACGCUGAGGAGCGAAAGCGUGGGAGCGAACAGGAUUAGAUACCCUGGUAGUCCACGCCGUAAACGAUGAGUGCUAAGUGUUAGGGGGUUUCCGCCCCUUAGUGCUGCAGCUAACGCAUAAGCACUCCGCCUGGGGAGUACGGUCGCAAGCUGAAACUCAAAGGAAUUGACGGGGGCCCGCACAAGCGGUGGAGCAUGUGGUUUAAUUCGAAGCAACGCGAAGAACCUUACCAGGUCUUGACAUCCUCUGACAAUCCUAGAGAUAGACGUCCCCUUCGGGGCAGAGUGA